RNAcentral lists this ribosomal RNA (480 nucleotides) under uncultured bacterium. RNAcentral describes it as "SSU rRNA". It matches the Rfam family "Bacterial small subunit ribosomal RNA", at positions 26 to 518 of the family's 1533-position model. The record is from RNAcentral.
AGGACGAACGCUGGCGGCGUGCUUAACACAUGCAAGUGGGGCGACGAACCAGGCUUCGGCCUGGGGCAAAGCCGCGAACGGGUGAGUAACACGUGGGUAACCUGCCCCGAAGACUGGGACAACCCGGGGAAACCCGGGCUAAUACCGGAUGUGGUCAUCGUUCACAAGGACGAUGAGCAAAGGAAGCUUCGGCCUCCGCUUCGGGAUGGGCCCGCGGCCCAUUAGCUUGUUGGUGAGGUAACGGCUCACCAAGGCUUCGAUGGGUAGCUGGUCUGAGAGGACGAUCAGCCACACUGGGACUGAGACACGGCCCAGACUCCUACGGGAGGCAGCAGUGGGGAAUCUUGCGCAAUGCGCGAAAGCGUGACGCAGCAACGCCGCGUGGGGGAAGACGGCCUUCGGGUUGUAAAGCUCUUUUGGCGGGGACGAUAAUGACGGUACCCGCAGAAUAAGCCCGGCUAACUUCGUGCCAGCAGCCGC